AUUGAACGCUGGCGGAAUGCUUUACACAUGCAAGUCGAACGGCAGCACGGGGCAACCUGGUGGCGAGUGGCGAACGGGUGAGUAAUACAUCGGAACGUGCCCAAUCGUGGGGGAUAACGUAGCGAAAGUUACGCUAAUACCGCAUACGAUCUACGGAUGAAAGCGGGGGAUCGCAAGACCUCGCGCGAAUGGAGCGGCCGAUGUCAGAUUAGGUAGUUGGUGGGGUAAAGGCUCACCAAGCCGACGAUCUGUAGCUGGUCUGAGAGGACGACCAGCCACACUGGGACUGAGACACGGCCCAGACUCCUACGGGAGGCAGCAGUGGGGAAUUUUGGACAAUGGGCGCAAGCCUGAUCCAGCCAUUCCGCGUGCAGGAUGAAGGCCUUCGGUUGUAAACUGCUUUGUACGGAACGAAACGGUUCUCUCUAAUACAGGGGCUAAUGACGGUACCGUAAGAAUAAGCACCGGCUAACUACGUGCCAGCAGCCGCGGUAAU
RNAcentral lists this ribosomal RNA (496 nucleotides) under uncultured bacterium. RNAcentral describes it as "bacterial SSU rRNA". It matches the Rfam family "Bacterial small subunit ribosomal RNA", at positions 30 to 524 of the family's 1533-position model. The record is from RNAcentral.